AACGAACGCUGGCGGCAGGCCUAACACAUGCAAGUCGAGCGAUACCAGCAAUGGUGGAGCGGCAGACGGGUGAGUAACACGUGGGAACGUACCCUUCGGUUCGGAAUAACUCAGGGAAACUUGAGCUAAUACCGGAUACGUCCGAGAGGAGAAAGAUUUAUCGCCAUUGGAGCGGCCCGCGUCUGAUUAGCUAGUUGGUGAGGUAAAGGCUCACCAAGGCUACGAUCAGUAGCNGGUCUGAGAGGAUGAUCAGCCACACUGGGACUGAGACACGGCCCAGACUCCUACGGGAGGCAGCAGUGGGGAAUCUUGCGCAAUGGGCGCAAGCCUGAUCCAGCCAUGCCGCGUGAGUGAUGAAGGCCCUAGGGUUGUAAAGCUCUUUCGGCGGGGACGAUAAUGACGGUACCCGCAGAAGAAGCCCCGGCUAACUUCGUG
Molecule: ribosomal RNA, 435 nt
Filed under: uncultured bacterium
Lineage: Bacteria
Description: bacterial SSU rRNA
Rfam family: Bacterial small subunit ribosomal RNA
Source: RNAcentral